GACCUAAUAACUUGAAAGAAAGAUGGAAUAAUAUUUUUCAGAAAUCUAUAACUAAACACAAGCUGCUGAUCAAGAUUAUUUAAUCAAUUCAAAUGCAAUAAUAACCACAAUUAGAACAAGAAAGAACAAACAAAAUAAGGUAACAACGGAAAUUAAACCUACAACUUUAAGACCUAAACACUUGAAGUCUUCAACCUCUAAUCGGAACCUCAGAUCACAAGUGCAGCCUCCUGCCGCAGUUCACCGUAGUCCUCGACUAACUCCGAUCAGGUUGAUGAUUGUUGAAACUUGGCAAUCCGAUGCUAAUGUUCCUCCGUAUUUGCAAUCCCAGCCCACGUGUUCUACAAGGUGAAAAGCGUAAAGAUGAAAGGCAGUUACGCCUCGCUUUUAUAGUUUACGAGACGACGCCAUUGCUGAUGAACCAUGCUAGAGGAAGCUUCGAGGAAAGAGCUUUCUUUCCUUUCUUAUCUCUGUGUCAUUGCAGCUCCUUGUAGAUUGCGG
Molecule: long non-coding RNA, 501 nt
Filed under: Linum usitatissimum (flax)
Lineage: Eukaryota; Viridiplantae; Streptophyta; Magnoliopsida; Malpighiales; Linaceae
Description: long non-coding RNA (LUSI_LNC003517)
Source: RNAcentral